UCCUGGCUUAGGACGAACGCUGGCGGCGUGCCUAACACAUGCAAGUCGAGCGGAGUUAUGGAGUAGUUACUACGAAGUGACUUAGCGGCGGACGGGUGAGUAACGCGUGAGCAAUCUGCCUCGUACAGGGGGAUAACAGUCGGAAACGACUGCUAAUACCGCAUAAGACCACAGUACGGCAUCGUAUAGGGGUCAAAGGAGAAAUCCGGUAUGAGAUGAGCUCGCGUCCCAUUAGCUAGUUGGUAAGGUAAGAGCUUACCAAGGCGACGAUGGGUAGCCGACCUGAGAGGGUGAUCGGCCACACUGGGACUGAGACACGGCCCAGACUCCUACGGGAGGCAGCAGUGGGGAAUAUUGCGCAAUGGGGGGAACCCUGAACCGCAGCAACGCCGCGUGAGUGAAGAAGGCCUUCGGGUCGUAAAACUCUGUCAUUGGGGAAGAAGAAAGUGACGGUACCCGAUGAGGAAGCCCCGGCUAACUACGUGCCAGCCGCAGC
This 496-nucleotide ribosomal RNA is filed under the name uncultured bacterium. RNAcentral describes it as "bacterial SSU rRNA". It matches the Rfam family "Bacterial small subunit ribosomal RNA", at positions 17 to 518 of the family's 1533-position model. The record is from RNAcentral.